GAUUGUUGCUUAGUAUAGAUGUUUCGCAUCAUUUGUAGUUUCGAUUUAAAAAAAACGGUUGAUCGGAAUCAACAUUUCGGAUCUUAUUCGGGAUACGACACAGCCGUUUGGCGAAAGGGCUGGGUAGAGUAACGAAAAAUCUCAUAGUUAUCAUCAUCGGGGGUGCCGGAACACAUUAAACGGAGCUUUCAAAAUACGAGCGCAGAGGUUCCGGAAUGGAUUCCUCAGACAAACCCGGUACGAUGGAGUUGAAAAAGGAUGGUGGCAAUAGGUACAAAUCCACCCGGUAUGGCAAAAUAGUCCCAGACAGAACUCCGUCCCGGACCGAAGAAGAAAGUGAAUAGGUUUAAAAAUACUGAAGCAAAUGUUUUUUUAACAAUAAAAGCUUGAAAGAUUUA
Molecule: long non-coding RNA, 398 nt
Organism: Uranotaenia lowii
Lineage: Eukaryota; Metazoa; Arthropoda; Insecta; Diptera; Culicidae
Exons: 2
Source: RefSeq, a predicted model, not a curated record